RNAcentral lists this ribosomal RNA (655 nucleotides) under uncultured bacterium. RNAcentral's name for it is "bacterial SSU rRNA". It matches the Rfam family "Bacterial small subunit ribosomal RNA", at positions 118 to 749 of the family's 1533-position model. The record is from RNAcentral.
UAAACAACCUGCCUUCAGGAUGGGGACAACAGACGGAAACGACUGCUAAUACCGAAUAAGUUCCAAGGGCCGCAUGGCCCAUGGAAGAAAAGGUGGCCUCUACCUGUAAGCUAUCGCCUGAAGAGGGGUUUGCGUCUGAUUAGCUGGUUGGAGGGGUAACGGCCCACCAAGGCGACGAUCAGUAGCCGGUCUGAGAGGAUGAACGGCCACACUGGAACUGAGACACGGUCCAGACUCCUACGGGAGGCAGCAGUGGGGAAUCUUCCGCAAUGGGCGAAAGCCUGACGGAGCAACGCCGCGUGAGUGAUGACGGCCUUCGGGUUGUAAAACUCUGUGAUCCGGGACGAAAAGGCAGAGUGCGAAGAACAAACUGCAUUGACGGUACCGGAAAAGCAAGCCACGGCUAACUACGUGCCAGCAGCCGCGGUAAUACGUAGGUGGCAAGCGUUGUCCGGAAUUAUUGGGCGUAAAGCGCGCGCAGGCGGCUUCCCAAGUCCCUCUUAAAAGUGCGGGGCUUAACCCCGUGAUGGGAAGGAAACUGGGAAGCUGGAGUAUCGGAGAGGAAAGUGGAAUUCCUAGUGUAGCGGUGAAAUGCGUAGAGAUUAGGAAGAACACCGGUGGCGAAGGCGACUUUCUGGACGAAAACUGACGCUGA